This 253-nucleotide ribosomal RNA is filed under the name uncultured bacterium. Its description in RNAcentral is "partial 16S ribosomal RNA". It matches the Rfam family "Bacterial small subunit ribosomal RNA", at positions 524 to 776 of the family's 1533-position model. The record is from RNAcentral.
UACGUAGGGGGCUAGCGUUGUCCGGAAUCAUUGGGCGUAAAGAGCGCGUAGGCGGCUAGAUAAGUCCGGUGUGAAAGUCACAGGCUCAACCUGUGAAUGCCGCUGGAAACUGUCUGGCUAGAGUCCGGAAGGGGCGAGUGGAAUUCCUGGUGUAGCGGUGAAAUGCGCAGAUAUCAGGAAGAACACCCGUGGCGAAGGCGGCUCUCUGGGACGGUACUGACGCUGAGACGCGAAAGCGUGGGGAGCGAACAGG